CCUACGGGUGGCAGCAGUGGGGAAUAUUGGGCAAUGGACGCAAGUCUGACCCAGCAACGCCGCGUGAAGGAAGAAGGCUUUCGGGUUGUAAACUUCUUUUUAGGGGGAAGAGCAGAAGACGGUACCCCUUGAAUAAGCCACGGCUAACUACGUGCCAGCAGCCGCGGUAAUACGUAGGUGGCAAGCGUUGUCCGGAUUUACUGGGUGUAAAGGGCGUGCAGACGGUUAGAAAAGUCAGAUGUGAAAUCUACGGGCUCAACUCGUGAACUGCAUUUGAAACUGGUUCCCUUGAGUAUCGGAGAGGUAAGCGGAAUUCGUUGUGUAGCGGUGAAAUGCGUAGAUAUAAGGAAGAACACCAGUGGCGAAGGCAGAUUACUGGACGAUAACUGACGGUGAGGCGCGAAAGCGUGGGGAGCAAACAGGAUUAGAUACCCUUGUAGUC
Molecule: ribosomal RNA, 442 nt
Filed under: uncultured bacterium
Lineage: Bacteria
Description: partial 16S ribosomal RNA
Rfam family: Bacterial small subunit ribosomal RNA
Source: RNAcentral